This 254-nucleotide ribosomal RNA is filed under the name uncultured bacterium. RNAcentral's name for it is "partial 16S ribosomal RNA". It matches the Rfam family "Bacterial small subunit ribosomal RNA", at positions 524 to 776 of the family's 1533-position model. The record is from RNAcentral.
UACGGGGGGAGCAAGCGUUGUUCGGAUUUACUGGGCGUAAAGGGCGCGUAGGCGGCCACCGCAAGUCGACUGUGAAAUCUCCGGGCUUAACCCGGAAAGGUCAGCCGAUACUGCGGGGCUAGAGUGCUGAAGGGGCAACUGGAAUUCUCGGUGUAGCGGUGAAAUGCGUAGAUAUCGAGAGGAACACCUGCGGCGAAGGCGGGUUGCUGGGCUGACACUGACGCUGAGGAGCGAAAGCGUGGGGAGCGAACAGG